CCUACGGGAGGCAGCAGUGAGGAAUAUUGGUCAAUGGCCGGAAGGCUGAACCAGCCAAGCCGCGUGAAGGACGAAGGUGCCAAGCAUUGUAAACUUCUUUUGUCAAGGGACAAAAUCAGGCUCGAGAGCCUGACCGAGGGUACUGGAAGAUAAAGCAUCGGCUAACUCCGUGCCAGCAGCCGCGGUAAUACGGAGGAUGCGAGCGUUAUCCGGAUUUAUUGGGUUUAAAGGGGGAGUAGGCGGACUGUUAAGUCAGCGGUAAAAGCCCGGGGCGGAACCCCGGCGAGCCGUUGACAUUGGCUGUGUUGAGAUGACGAGGGGUAUGCGGAAUGCGCAGUGUAGCGGUGAAAUGCUUAG
This 357-nucleotide ribosomal RNA is filed under the name uncultured bacterium. RNAcentral's name for it is "partial 16S ribosomal RNA". It matches the Rfam family "Bacterial small subunit ribosomal RNA", at positions 338 to 693 of the family's 1533-position model. The record is from RNAcentral.